CUAAAAAGUUAUCACAGAGGCGGUAGGGGAGAAAGAGUUUCCUGACUCGAGUUCUGAUUUUCGAGCAAUUAAAGCAAGUUAUCACAGAGGCAGGUGAGAGAAUUCUAAAACUCAUUUUGAGUUCUAAGAAAAUGCAAUAUCUCUUUCAAAUGCAAAAUUAGAGCAGCCUAAAAUUCCAAGGUAUAAUUCUCUGCUGGUAAUUUGAGUGAAUGAACAGAAAAGAUAGUUGAAAGUUGAAUUGAAAAACAUAUUGAACAGAUAAAGUUUCUGUUAAAACCCCAUUAAGUCGAUUGCUAAAAGAAUAAGUAACGCGAAACAUUUGGCUUCCCCAAGUGGCUAUCAUCAUCAAAUCAUAUUUUUUUCCGUAGUUCUUGAAUGAAUCAUUAAUAUAGAGAUAAGAUGAUGUAAUAUCUUGUAGAUUUUUAUUUUCAAAAAAUAAAAUGCAGUUUGAUAGUAUUAACAAACCUGGAAUUCUGCUGGAUGGAAGUGGUGCAAAUCCUGACCAAAGCUUACAUAUCUUUUGAUGGUGGAUGGUAUGUUCGUGAUUGAAAACUUGAAUAGGUAAUGCAUUGACUACACAAAUUUUUCCUGUCCUUAAUUGUUGUUAGCCUGAUUAAGAGCUGGUUACUAUUGAGAAUACUGGUUGAUAUCAAGAUGCUCUUCAUUAAUUUCCCUUUUCUCUUGACCAUGUAUGUCCAUGAUGUAUUUGUUUAUCUAUGUAUAUUUUAGCCGAAAAGAGGGAUAAUCCAUUGUCUGUACAACAAACAACACAUUUUAGUUCUUAUGGACAUAAUUGGGUAAAGUUGUCUUGUUGAAUAAUGCAUAUAUACCGAUGCUUGGUUUAUUCCAAUCCUUGAGCUAUUUUAGAUCGAGUUGCGAUAGUUAUGUGUAUUGAUAGUUGCAUAUUGUAUAGGAACUACCAAGUGUGAUGAAUGAGUGAGAAAGAGAGAAAGCCUAUUGACAGAACAAUACUGUAGGACAAUAUUUACAUCAAUUCAAGCCAUUUUGUCUUGUAAGUUAUCGAUCAAGAUUN
This 1033-nucleotide long non-coding RNA is filed under the name Phaseolus vulgaris (common bean). Its description in RNAcentral is "long non-coding RNA (PVUL_LNC002885)". The record is from RNAcentral. Lineage: Eukaryota; Viridiplantae; Streptophyta; Magnoliopsida; Fabales; Fabaceae.